CCCUCUGCAAACGAAUAGAAACGUUGCCAAAGGCCCAAAGCAAAGAGCAAAAAAAGAAGUAAACGAGGUUGAGAUAUGGGAGACAAUGAUAGCUGGUAACCAUGGCCCUUGAUAUUCAGUGCAAAAUAGCGUUCAGAUGGAGACCCAAUUCUGAUUCAGGUAACAACAGUCCCCUCAUCUUCCCUAAAACCACACUGACAAAACAAUCCUUCAAAUUCACAUUCGUCACCAAUCAAACUUGUUUAUCAUCUCUCCACCACUCAUCACCACCACCACCUUCAAAUGGCACAAGGCCCACUUCCCUUCUUGUUGAAAAGUACAAUUACAAUGAGCACCAGAGGCUUAGAGAUUUACUUGAAAAGCUCAGCAACACCAACUCAUGCCCUCUACAAAUACUCACAGAUUAUGGGGAUUGGACUCAAGACCAGUUCUGGGCUGUUGUCAAAUUUCUUAUACAUGCCUCUAGAUCUCUUGAAGUUCUUCAGGUGUUUGAUAUGUGGAAGAACAUUGAGAAAUUGCGGAUUAAUGAAUUCUACUAUGAUAAGAUAAUUGGGCUGUUAGGUGAAGAGGGCAUGCUCGAAGAAGCACUGUCAGCAUUUCAAGAGAUGAAAAGACAUGGUCUAAAACCUUCUUUGGGAUCUUACAAUGUGAUAAUUCAUGGUUUUGCAAAAAAAGGAAACUUUGAUGAUGCUUUAUUUUACCUUAAUGGGAUGAAAGAUGAUAAUUUGGCACCGGAAACUGAUAGCUAUGAUGGGUUGAUUCAAGCUUAUGGGAGAUAUAAAAUGUAUGAUGAAAUAGCUAUUUGUGUGAAGAAGAUGGAAUUGGAUGGUUGUUCGCCUGACCACAUUACGUAUAAUUUGCUUAUCCGAGAGUUUUCGCAAGCUGGGUUGCUCAAAAGAAUGGAAAGAGUGUGUCAAACAAUGCUUUCAAAGAAGAUGUAUUUACAGUCAACUACCUUAGUUGCAAUGCUUGAGGCUUAUGCAAGAUUUGGGAUUUUGGAUAAGAUGGAAAAGGUUUAUAGAAGAGUUUUGAACUCAAAAAACCCUUUAAAAGAUGAUUUGAUAAGGAAAUUGGCUGAAAUUUAUAUUGAUAACUAUAUGUUUUCAAGAUUAGAUGACUUGGGACUUAAUGUUUCAUCAAGGUUUGGCGCAACUGAUCUUGUUUGGUGUCUGCGUCUCCUUUCUCAUGCUUGUCUUUUAAGCCGAAAAGGUAUGUAUUCCAUUGUUCAGGAGAUGCAAGAAGCGAAAGUUUCUUGGAAUGUAACUGUUGCAAAUAUUAUCAUGCUAGCUUAUUUGAAAAUGAAAGACUUCACGCGUUUGAGAGCAUUGCUCUCCCAAUUGCCACCCCAUCAUGUGAAGCCUGAUAUGGUCACAGUUGGAAUUCUAUUUGAUGCAAUUACUUUUGGUUUUGAUGGAACUGAGAUUAUUGAAGCAUGGAGAAGGAUGGGCCAUCUUUAUGGUGUUGUGGAAAUGAAUACUGAUCCUCUGGUUCUAACUGCAUUUGGAAAGGGGAGUUUCCUUAGAAAAUGUGAAGAGGUCUACUGCUCCCUUGAAACUCGAGCUAGAGAAAAGAAAACAUGGACUUAUCAUAACCUCAUUGAUUUAGUCUCAGAAUACAAUGGAAGGAAGCCAUAGUAGAAUGAAACCAAGGUGGUGGAGAGAAGCUGGGCUGUAAGGAUUUCUGAAUGAGUGAAUGUUCCCUCAAAGGCUUUACAAUAAUUUUUUCUUUUAGAGAUAAUUACAAUAUAGUGCUAACUCCACAGCUCGAACGCUUUCGCCCUAAACCCCCAAGCACUUUGUGCAUGGGGAGAUGCCGAUUCAACUACAAGGCCCUCAACACCUAACACCUUAUUCAAUACAACAAAAAGAAUCAGUGUGUGAGUUUGGAACCUGAAAUUUUCUUGUGCAAACCAACUACUUUGAAGCUGAAAUUGGAAGGUCAAAUCAAUUCCAAUUUUGAUGAAAUUUCAGUAUGUUGUUCCAGACGAAGAGAGCUUUGUGUUGACUGGUGUUGGUGCUUGAAGUUCCUCUCCAUUUGCUCAGAUGUUGAGACCCACUUGGAUCUCUUCAAGUUCCAUCGCUUGGAUAUCAGAAUCCUGAAGCAGUAAUGAAUGAGAAGUUUCCAAAACCCCAAGGAUGAUCUCCUUCUGCAUUUCAUUGAUGGCUGUUACAACCCAAGGUAAUAAAUGUGUUGUGCAUAUGUCUACCAAAAAAUUUUGUAUUUCCAUGUUACAGGACUCGGCAAAGUUUUCUUCAUGACCUCUUUAAGUAGGUACAAGGAAUGCAAAAGUUGUCUCAGGAUGUUUUUCCAGAGAUAUCUAGACAGGCUAAAACAACAUGUUUGGAUGCUUAUUGCUCUGGUUUUUCAGAGAUGUCUAAUAUCUAGACAGACAUAUCCCACCAUCUUUAGGGAAUUUUACAAUGUUAGAAUCAUUAGACCUUUCUCAAAAUAGACUCUAGGAGCAGAUUCUACCGCAACUAGCAAAACUUACUUUCUU
Molecule: RNA transcript, 2497 nt
Organism: Quercus robur (English oak)
Lineage: Eukaryota; Viridiplantae; Streptophyta; Magnoliopsida; Fagales; Fagaceae
Gene name: pentatricopeptide repeat-containing protein At4g14190, chloroplastic
Exons: 4
Source: RefSeq, a predicted model, not a curated record